This 701-nucleotide long non-coding RNA is filed under the name Chinchilla lanigera (long-tailed chinchilla). RNAcentral's name for it is "lncRNA (ENSCLAG00000028881.1)". Lineage: Eukaryota; Metazoa; Chordata; Mammalia; Rodentia; Chinchillidae. The record is from RNAcentral.
UUUUUUUAAACUUCUUGAGACGGUCUUGCUAAGUAACUAAAUUGCCCAGGCUGGGCUUUGGACUAUUGAUCCCUGUGCCUCAGCCUCCUAGACUGCACCACCCGACCCAGGUCCUUCCCGGGUUCUCCAUGCUGUUCCUGUCCUAAUUCUGGAACACAAGAGUGGGGAAGACUGACGCUACACGGAUCCCCGCUUGCUGCAGAGGGCUGGAUGUGUCUGAAUCAGUCCCGAUGUGCGCAUCAUGAGUUUGUCAGCCAGGACGCCGUGGUGAGGCAAAGAACAUCACAAAUCACAGAAGAACAGAAGACUCAAGUCAAGGUGGAGGGAGCUGCGUGUAGUGGAAGUCACGGGGGAGGGGAUGAGUGCCACCUCCCCUGGAAUUGUUUGCCCUCUGCUGACUGCAGCCAGGCUCUGGUGGCGGCUGCGCUUGACAGAUUCCUGCGUGAGACCAAGUCAGAUGGAAGAACCAACGGUUGGGAAGUGACGGUGACUGCAGGCUGCCUCGGCCAGCUCAGAUGACUUCAGCGAAGACCGCAGCAGUCCUGCUGGCUUCCCUCACGCGCUCCAGAUGGCAGCAAGAUGGCAGCCCGCAGCCCCACUCCCAUGAGAGCAGGACAGCCUCAGACUCUGAGUCGAGGAGCGCAGAAUUCUGCACACACCAGUGUCACUGUUCAGUCCAAUUAAACAAAAGAACAAUCCAA